Molecule: long non-coding RNA, 2838 nt
Filed under: Schizosaccharomyces pombe (fission yeast)
Lineage: Eukaryota; Fungi; Ascomycota; Schizosaccharomycetes; Schizosaccharomycetales; Schizosaccharomycetaceae
Source: RNAcentral
AUUUAAAUAUAGCAGUCAUUAUAUGCAUUCAUUUAGCCAGUGUGUCCAAGCAUUUGACUGACACAAUAAAUAGUAUUCUCGAUACGCAAAGUCAGACGGUAGAACAAUGAAUACUCCUCGGCCUGGUUUACGGGAGCUGCCAGACCGGUAUCGCAAGGCGGUGGUUCAGGAAACCCAUGCAGUAUAGCGGCAUGGUCUUCAAGACGCUCACAAAGUUCAUAAAGUAAUUGAUACUGUUGGUCAUCAAAAAUACAACCUUCAUAUCCACCAGUACUCUCUGAUGGUGAUACGUUGCGCAAGGAUGAAACCGAUCUCUUCCCAGAACCACCCUCCUCUCCAUGGACAGAUUUUGAAUCACUCAAUCUUGCUAACAUGGGUCGCAAGCUGUUGCUUCUACUACGAACGGGAGUAUAAGUCUGAGUUUCCGGGAGGGCUGUGGGUGUUCCCAAACUUCGGCUCUUUAUCAAUCUCUCCAGUCUUCCUUGCAAUUGCACAGGAUAAACCAAUGAAAUCAUUUCAGUAGUAUCCAAACCUUUUAACUUAAAUUCUCCAAGGUUAUGGAUAAUAUAACCGAUUUGUUUAAGAGCACGAACUUCCAUUUCGUUGACAUUCGUCUUCUCUGAUGACAUUGUUUCUGAAUCAAGCUGAUUCAAUACAGAUACCACCUCAGCAGAAACAGCAAUUUGACCACCAUCAGCGACUGAUACAACCCUAGAUGUUCUGUUUACUACAGGCCCGUAAUAGUCCAUACGUCUAGUGAUGGGAUCUAGUUCACUCACGGUUACACCAUAAUUGACACCAAUUCGAACACUAAGCCCUCGAUAUAACACCUCAUUUUUUGAGCCGAGUACCAACCGUCCUUGCACUGACUCAACUAUUUCGUUGGGCCAAUCUGCCGAAAGUAACUGUAAUUGUACUGAAAAACACCAAAGUAAUGCAGCAGGAACUGUUUGAAAACAAACCAUAAACGCAUCUCCUUCGGUUUUUACUUCAUAGCCUCCAGUUGCACGGAGUUGCCGACGCAUAAUAGUAUUAUGAGUUUUGAUCGCAGAUCUCAUUGCAAUAGGAUGUCUUUCCCACAAUAAUGUGGAAUUCUUAAUAUCAGUAAAAACCAUGGCAAUACAACCUUUCGGGGGAGAGACUUCUCUAUUCAUUCGUGCUAAAGAAGAAUCAUCGGGUAAAUCUUGGACAAAUGACAUAUUAUCGUUCUUUUCAGAAAUUGCUAAAGUUUUUUCAUCCCCCCGUAGUUGGUUGAAAUUAAGGGAAUUCUCUUCAAACAAUCCGUUCAAUUCGACGAUAACUACAAGAACAUUUUUUUCUGCACCAUAUGCAAUAGCAUAGUCACGUAGCUUCGUAGAGGCUAAUAGAGGAGAAUGUCUGUUGGCACGAACAACGUCAAUUACUGUGCGUUUUGAUAAUACGCUCCAAAAUUCCUGAUUUGCUAGAAUGAUAAAUUCGUUUAGUUCAGAUAAGUACUGCACAUUAACAUAGGGAACUGCUUGGACGCCAGGAAAUUGAGACAAACGACCAAUAGCACGUGUAGUGGUCGAUUUUAUUUCACCAGAUAUGAAACCACAUGAAUCAACUAUGCGACGAAUUUCAUCCCUAUUGUACACAUCAUGCAUGACACUUAAAGUUGUAGGUUCCGAAUCAUUUCUCGUAGACAUUAUAGCCAUUGAUGUGCCCACAUUGGCAACGAAAGCUCUUGUAUCCCUGACGUACACUAAGAUAAUGCUAACUCCUAUAUCCAAGCAAGAACUGUCCAUAGAAUAACCCUUUUCUGAAAUAUUCAUAGUGGUAACGUAAUUACUAUCCACGUCUCCUUCUGAAGACUUCCUAAGGUCAUAAUGAAUGACAUUUCCUAAUUUUUUGUUUAAACGAAGAAAUCCUCUUCUCAAAGCGUUACAAAUUUGUUCAGAAGAGGAAUCUGCUGCAUUAAUCUCAUGCGCUAGGCAUGAAGCCAAAUUGUCGUACACAAAUUUUAAAACCCGGUUGUUUUUUCCAGCGCUGAUGUCACUGUCAAGCACACAGUAUAAAGAUGAUUGAGGAUGCAAAAAGUUGUUAACAACUAAUUCACAUGCAGAGAUGACGGGAAUAGAACGAGAAAGGUAUCCACAUACUCCAUACCUCAAAAUGUUAGGUUGAGGAGAGUUGCGUUGAAUAAAAUGGUUUAGAACAUCAGAAGGCGCAUUAGAAAAUUUUGUAUUCAAAUCCAUGAUGCUCAAAAACUUUAAAUUCUUCAAAUAUGAUUUUGUAAAGUUUGUAUCUUCAUGCUCAGAGAAUCGAAACCAUGUGUUACCAGAUAGAUUAAGGUAUUCCAAUUGAGGAAGUUUAGUUAAACUCUUCUUUUCAGCUUUUUCUACUGCUAAAUUCUGCAGAUUAUUGGUACUUAUGUCCAAAAAUCUUAAACUUUUAGACAAAGCUUCAUUUUUAGGAAAAGAGGAAAGACGAUUUCCAUUCGCGUACAAAGUUUCAAGUAGGACCUGCGCUGUACUGGAAAUGGAAAGAUUUGCAAGCUCAUUUCCUGACACAAAAAGGUGUUUAAGAUCAGAAAAAUUUUGGAAAAACUUGCUUGGAAUUUCCGUUAAAUAAUUGUAAGAUAAAUUUAAGACUUUUAAACACUUAAAGUAUUCUAAAGCCGUAAAACAGUCAUUGCCCAAUCUGUUGUCCACCAAGUAUAAUUCUUCAACGGUAGGCAUAACAAAUUCUUGGGAGGAGAGGCUCGAUACCGGAUUUCCUGAUAAAGUACGCAUGAUUUUUAAUUGGCUAAUUGUCCUAGUUAAUUUUUUUGACGUUGCAACUGGUAACUUGAUUUUCUCCAGGAUAUUGGAAGACAGG